RNAcentral lists this signal recognition particle RNA (100 nucleotides) under Clostridiaceae bacterium. RNAcentral's name for it is "signal recognition particle sRNA small type". It matches the Rfam family "Bacterial small signal recognition particle RNA". Rfam says of the family: The signal recognition particle (SRP) is a universally conserved ribonucleoprotein involved in the co-translational targeting of proteins to membranes. Archaeal SRP consists of a 7S RNA and homologues of the eukaryotic SRP19 and SRP54 proteins. In most bacteria, the SRP consists of a 4.5S RNA and the Ffh protein (a homologue of the eukaryotic SRP54 protein). The record is from RNAcentral. Lineage: Bacteria; Bacillati; Bacillota; Clostridia; Eubacteriales; Clostridiaceae. RNAcentral also lists the same sequence under 1 other name.
CUGUGGAUUCCGUGCAAUGUCAGCUCGUGAACCCCGUCAGGUUCGGAAGGAAGCAGCGGUAAGCGGAUCCUGACAUGUGCCAUGGGUCGAUCUGCACCGG